UCGAUUUAGCCAUGCUAGUUGUACGAGUUGAGACUCGUAGCAGAUAGCUCAGUAACACGUGGCCAAACUACCCUAUCGAGCACGAUACUCUCGGGAAACUGAGGCUAAUAGUGCAUACGGCUCGGUGUCUGGAGUGACCCGAGUCAGAAACGCUCAGGCGCGAUAGGAUGUGGCUGCGGCCGAUUAGGUAGACGGUGGGGUAACGGCCCACCGUGCCAAUAAUCGGUACGGGUUGUGAGAGCAAGAGCCCGGAGACGGUAUCUGAGACAAGAUACCGGGCCCUACGGGGCGCAGCAGGCGCGAAACCUUUACACUGCACGCGAGUGCGAUAAGGGGACUCCAAGUGCGAGGGCAUAUAGUCCUCGCUUUUUCCGACCGUAGGAUGGUCGGCGAAUAAGUGCUGGGCAAGACCGGUGCCAGCCGCCGCGGUAAUACCGGCAGCACGAGUGAUGACCGCUAUUAUUGGGCCUAAAGCGUCCGUAGCUGGCCACGCAAGUCCAUCGGGAAAUCUCUCCGCUCAACGGAGAGGCGUCCGGUGGAAACUGUGUGGCUUGGGACCGGAAGAUCCAGAGGGUACGUCUGGGGUAGGAGUGAAAUCCCGUAAUCCGAGACGGACCACCGGUGGCGAAAGCGCUCUGGAAAGACGGAUCCGACGGUGAGGGACGAAAGCUCGGGUCACGAACCGGAUUAGAUACCCGGGUAGUCCGAGCUGUAAACGAUGUCUGCUAGGUGUGACACAGGCUACGAGCCUGUGUUGUGCCGUAGGGAAGCCGUGAAGCAGACCGCCUGGGAAGUACGUCUGCAAGGAUGAAACUUAAAGGAAUUGGCGGGGGAGCACUACAACCGGAGGAGCCUGCGGUUUAAUUGGACUCAACGCCGGACAUCUCACCAGCAUCGACAGUGUGCAGUGAAAGUCAGUGUGAUGAGCUUACUGGAGCCACUGAGAGGAGGUGCAUGGCCGCCGUCAGCU
This 970-nucleotide ribosomal RNA is filed under the name Halostagnicola larsenii. Its description in RNAcentral is "bacterial SSU rRNA". It matches the Rfam family "Archaeal small subunit ribosomal RNA", at positions 40 to 1009 of the family's 1478-position model. The record is from RNAcentral. Lineage: Archaea; Methanobacteriati; Methanobacteriota; Halobacteria; Halobacteriales; Natrialbaceae.